Lycium ferocissimum is the source of this 524-nucleotide long non-coding RNA. RefSeq lists it as uncharacterized. The record is from RefSeq and is a predicted model, not a curated record. Lineage: Eukaryota; Viridiplantae; Streptophyta; Magnoliopsida; Solanales; Solanaceae. The transcript is spliced from 2 exons.
GAGAUGUCUUUACUUAACGAGUUCAAUAGCCAAGCAAUGACCAUGUCAUUGCACCACCAUCGUUGAUUCAUACCAGGUGAAUCUGAUGCUGUUAAAUGAUACGGAUGAGUAGAAUCAACAGCUUGGUUUGGUGAUGUUGAAUCUGAAGAAGCUGGAACAAUUGUUGGAUCAACUGGUGGAGUCAUUUUGAUACUGAUCUUUCAAGAAUGAAAGCAGAUUUGGAAAAGAAAAAGAAAAACGAGAGAAGAACAAGUAAACAAGUCACCCUCUAGCUUGAAUGCUCUGAUACCAUGAAGAGAUUUGCAGAAAUUAACAAGCUAGAUGGACAUUUUCGGAAAUAAAUUCCUUUUGUAUUUCUUCUCUGCUCUAUUACAAACUAUCACUAUGUAUUUAUACAUGUAACUAGGACCUAAGUGUAAAUAAAUAACUUGUGAAGAAAAACCUACAGCUGUAAGAAAUUGUAACAGAAAUAUGUACACCUAUUGUAUAUUCUAGAAGCAUCUGUGGAUAAGAAUAUUCCUAUA